UUGUGGAGGAGGACGCCGAAGGUGGGGCUAAUGACUGGGGUGAAGUCGUAACAAGGUAGCCGUACCGGAAGGUGCGGCUGGAUCACCUCCUAACAGGGAGACAACAAAAUGUAAAUAUUAAUUUUGUCACCUUAGGUCGAUCGGUAUCUCAGAUUCUUAUUUUUUAAGAAUUUCAGUUUCUAAGUUUUUUCUAGGUCACACCCAUCACUUUUUCCUGGGCCAUUAGCUCAGGUGGUUAGAGCGCACCCCUGAUAAGGGUGAGGUCCCUGGUUCAAGUCCAGGAUGGCCCAUAUCUCUAUGUUGGGGGUAUAGCUCAGUUGGUAGAGCGCCUGCUUUGCAAGCAGGAUGUCAGCGGUUCGAGUCCGCUUACCUCCACUGAAUACCACCUCUUACAUAUUUAAAGAGGGAAGUUGUCUUGAGUCGUGUCCUAAUUUGCUCUGAGCGAAUCUAGCUUCCUAUUUUAUUCAAUAAAUAAGAUGCUGGACUCAUUGAAUUUUUUUUCAUUGUUUUCAGAGAACCUUGACAACUGCAUAGAUUAUUUUUGAAGACAAUAAGCAUCUUUAAUGAUGCAGAUUUAUUAUUUGUGCGAAUGCAUUAAAUAGCAAUUCUAUUAAGCUGAUGCUUCAAUUAUUGAAGUUAUUGGUCAAGCUACAA
RNAcentral lists this unclassified non-coding RNA (654 nucleotides) under uncultured Prochlorococcus sp. RNAcentral describes it as "partial 16S-23S ribosomal RNA intergenic spacer; may also contain 16S ribosomal RNA and 23S ribosomal RNA". The stretch from base 303 to 375 matches the Rfam family "tRNA". Lineage: Bacteria; Bacillati; Cyanobacteriota; Cyanophyceae; Synechococcales; Prochlorococcaceae. The record is from RNAcentral.